Long non-coding RNA from Salvia miltiorrhiza (redroot sage), 841 nucleotides. RefSeq lists it as uncharacterized. The transcript has 2 exons. Lineage: Eukaryota; Viridiplantae; Streptophyta; Magnoliopsida; Lamiales; Lamiaceae. The record is from RefSeq and is a predicted model, not a curated record.
CCAGAACAAGCAACUUCAAGUUGCACCAUUAUUUGCACAUCAAUGUAUUGGAGGUGCCUAAAUUUGAAGGGAACACUUAGAUUAUGAUAGGUGUUGCUUGUCAAAGAAGAUGAACAAGUCAUACUGAAAUUACUAUCUUCCAGCUGUUUCCCCAAAAUAAUCCACAAAAAAAAAAACACACAAACACACACGCAGACCAUCGUCUGAUUCAUCAGGGGAGAAGGAGAUCAUAUUAUGUUCUCCUACAUCAACCAAAACAAAGGCCUGCUUGGGAAUAAUCCUUUGUUCAAAGCCUUUCUCUUCUUCCAAAAUCUUGAUUCCCAACAAUGACUUCCACUUCAGCAAUCCCACUUCGUUGAGGAUCAGCCCACCCCCCACCCCCCACCCCAACCAUUAGCCCGAGGCCAUUCUCCUACGCUGCUGCGCUCAACGGCUCCAGCGCUAUCGUUGGAGCAGGAGGAGUGAUUCUCUUUAGUUUUCUUAUCGUGAGCAGUCAACGCUUAAAAUUUACAUUGUCUAGAGGCUAUGGUUAUAAGCUCUCCGAUGAGGUGGUUGUAAUAGAGCUGGAGCAGGUUGCAGAGGCGCCCGAGCUCAAGUGGGAUGCUGCCCAUGCAGCUCGAGGUCAACGGGGAAAGCUUUUUUAUUUUUUAUUUUUUAAUCUUUGAGUUAGGUAGCUUGAUUAUAAAAUCGUACUACUAUUACACUAAAUAAGACAAAAAAAUAAAGCAACUUGAAAAUGUAAGUAAGUAGCUUUAUUUUUGAGUAAAAAUUAAAAUCUCAUUUUUGUUAAGUUGUAAUGAAAAAUAUCAAUUUUUAUAAAAUUAUUGUGUUUAUGUUCAAA